This 1002-nucleotide unclassified non-coding RNA is filed under the name Leishmania donovani. RNAcentral's name for it is "gene:unknown". The record is from RNAcentral. Lineage: Eukaryota; Euglenozoa; Kinetoplastea; Trypanosomatida; Trypanosomatidae.
UGAGGCAUCCUUAUUGCAGCGGUCUUUCUCCACACCCCUCCCCACCUUCUACGCUUCUACCCCCUCUCCGCCCCUCCACCCUCCUCGAGCCUGUCAGGACGUACACACCCAGUCUCACAUGUCUGGCUCUGUACAUGUUUUUGCGGGCGACACACGUGCUCGUGGGAACGCACGUUCAUUCGCGGCUGGGCGCUCUCCCUCUUCCACCGCUCGCCUUGAUCUCGGUGCUCGUGUGACUGGGCGGUCAAGAGCGGAUGGAAAGGGGGAGUGGCGGAUGGGUCCGAUGACGUUCAAGGCGAUGCGUGGGCGUUAGGGAGGCAGCCCAAUAUGCUUUGGCCCCUGUGCACUAGGAAUAAGUGGUGUUGUUGGUGGGGGAGGACAAUACCCACUCGUGGGUGUCUGCACACACCCAUAGACAUGCGCACACAUAUGUGCAUUUUUUUUCUCGUUUUUUUUUCGUACUCGUGUUUCAAUGCCUUUCCACGCUAUUCCCGCUUCUAUUCCACACUCCCCCGACUUCCCCCAACUCCCCACACACCCCCACUCCCUCGCCACUCUCUCGCCUCUGUGCUCUCUAACGUUUCCUUGUUUGUCUUCUCUUUGUCUGCCGUUCCUGCGUUUUCGUUUUUGUUUUUGGGCUUCCACCGUCAGUGACUUCGCCACCUUCUUGGCUUCUUCAUCCCUCCCCUCCCCUCUCCUCCCGUUUUCCUCGUCUGUGUGCCCCUUUCCAUGUGUGCGCGCAUGUUUCUGCGUGCCUGCCUGCCUGCCUGUGCGUGUGCGCGUCUUCGCGCUCAUCUUUUUCUCCACCGCCUUGCCUGUCUCCUGAAGCGGGGCGGGUUGGCACGGAAGAGAGCAAGACCGCCGCCCUCACCUUCCCGUUUCAUAACGGCGCCGCCACCACCGUCUCCUCGUUCCUCACAUUCCUGGACAACUCUCAUCCUCCCCUUCUUUUGAUCUACCUUUAUAUGUCUUCUUUCUUUCGCUUUCCUCUUUUUUUUCUAG